GACGAACGCUGGCGGCGUGCUUAACACAUGCAAGUCGAACGGAAAGGCCCUGCUUUUGUGGGGUGCUCGAGUGGCGAUCGGGUGAGUAACACGUGAGUAACCUGCCCCUGACUUUGGGAUAACUUCAGGAAACUGGGGCUAAUACCGGAUAGGAGCUCCUGCUGCAUGGUGGGGGCUGGAAAGUUUCGGCGGUUGGGGCUGGACUCGCGGCUUAUCAGCUUGCUGGUGGGGUAGUGGCUUACCAAGGCUUUGACGGGUAGCCGGCCUGAGAGGGUGACCGGCCACAUUGGGACUGAGGUACGGCCCGGACUCCUACGGGAGGCAGCGGUGGGGAAUAUUGCACAAUGGGCGGAGGCCUGAUGCAGCAACGCCGCGUGCGGGAUGACGGCCUUCGGGUUGUAAACCGCUUGCGCCGGGGACGAAGCGUGAGUGACGGUAAUGGGUAAAGAAGCACCGGCUAGCUACGUG
This 468-nucleotide ribosomal RNA is filed under the name uncultured bacterium. RNAcentral describes it as "partial 16S ribosomal RNA". It matches the Rfam family "Bacterial small subunit ribosomal RNA", at positions 28 to 507 of the family's 1533-position model. The record is from RNAcentral.